UAGGCGGGCCACUCAACGCGCGUCAACCACGACUUCACUCAAUGCGUCGUUGCGGUUUGUGUCCGAGCCAAGGAAUGGACACCUGUGGCAAGAGAGAAGGAAAAUGACCAUUUGUGAGGAGUAAGAGUCGAGCAUUGGCACGUGAAUUGCAGAGAGAAGUCCACAAUUGACUUUUGUGAGUGGAAGCAGCUUCGAAAUUGUUCCUUUUGUUGGAGCCGACGUGUUCAAUGAAAGAAGAAUAGGCCAGCCAACGUGGUCAAGGAUUUGGGGGCAUUGCCCCUGUGUCCCGUGGGGAAGGAGGGUGCAUGGUACGUCCACCCGAAACUCUGGUUCCAAUCAGUGGGGCGUAUGCGGUGGGGACCCCCGCCUAUUGCUGACCACCGACCAAACCCUGCUAUCCAGAGAGGAGCUAAAGUCUUCAUCGAUGGAUGGAGCUGACCAGUGAUGUCUCAAACGGGUAAGAAUACAAUCCUGUCAUAGGCAUAUAUUCAGUAACAAAUUACAGUGGGUGUUUUGGCUGGGGGGACACAAAUGAAAGUUAUUGGAAGUUGGAUUUGAUGUGCUGAGAGACAAGGCAGCUCAAGUAACACAUUUGCGGCGAAUUGAGUGAUUUUAAGCAAAUACAACUGCUGUUAUUCCCUAGAGUCCGACAAUAGAAGUCUUAAAAUUGAGACCAAAAAAAAGUCAACGGGUAUCCAACAAAUAAGUGUCCCCAUGGAUUUUACGUGGACUGGGUUUGAGAAAAGCACUUUAGAAAACUGAUGGGUUUAUCUGAACAACAAAAAUGAUUGGAAGCAACAAAAUCAGCUACUGUAGUUGGUAAGGAAAACUGAAAAAUUGAUUCCAUAAAAUAUGGAUACAAACAUGAAGGACAAGGUGAAAUAUGCACCU
This is a long non-coding RNA of Syngnathoides biaculeatus (alligator pipefish), 891 nucleotides long. RefSeq lists it as uncharacterized. The transcript has 3 exons. The record is from RefSeq and is a predicted model, not a curated record. Lineage: Eukaryota; Metazoa; Chordata; Actinopteri; Syngnathiformes; Syngnathidae.